AGGGUUUGAUCAUGGCUCAGGAUGAACGCUAGCGGCAGGCUUAACACAUGCAAGUCGAGGGGCAGCGGGGUGUAGCAAUACAUCGCCGGCGACCGGCGCACGGGUGCGUAACACGUAUGGAAUCUGCCCUGUACUGGGAGAUAGCCCGGAGAAAUCCGGAUUAAUAUCCCAUAAUAUGAGAGGUGGCAUCACCUUUCUUUGAAAGCUCCGGCGGUACAGGAUGACCAUGCGCACGAUUAGCUAGUUGGUGAGGUAACGGCUCACCAAGGCUACGAUCGUUAGGGGGCCUGAGAGGGUUAUCCCCCACACUGGUACUGAGACACGGACCAGACUCCUACGGGAGGCAGCAGUGAGGAAUAUUGCGCAAUGGAGGAAACUCUGACGCAGCCAUGCCGCGUGCAGGAAGAAGGCGCUACGCGUUGUAAACUGCUUUUAACCGGGAAGAAACCCCAGGACGUGUCCUGGGUUGACGGUACCGGAGGAAUAAGCACCGGCUAACUUCGUGCUAGCAGCCGCGGUAAUACGAAGGGUGCAAGCGUUAUCCGGAUUCAUUGGGUUUAAAGGGUGCGUAGGCGGGGCAAUAAGUCAGUGGUGAAAUCCUGCGGCUUAACCGUAGAAUUGCCAUUGAUACUGUUGCUCUUGAGUAGGCUCGACGUGGGCGGAAUGUGCCGUGUAGCGGUGAAAUGCUUAGAUAUGGCACAGAACACCGAUAGUGAAGACAGCUCACGAGGGCCAAACUGACGCUGAGGCACGAAAGCGUGGGGAUCGAACAGGAUUAGAUACCCUGGUAGUCCACGCCGUAAAC
This 805-nucleotide ribosomal RNA is filed under the name uncultured Bacteroidota bacterium. RNAcentral describes it as "bacterial SSU rRNA". It matches the Rfam family "Bacterial small subunit ribosomal RNA", at positions 8 to 807 of the family's 1533-position model. The record is from RNAcentral. Lineage: Bacteria; Pseudomonadati; Bacteroidota.